AUACUUACCUGGCAGGGGAGAUCUCAUGAUCACGAAGGUGGUUUUCCCAGGUUGAGGCUUAUCCAUUGCACUCUGGAUAUGCUGACCCCUGCGAUUUCCCCAAAUGUAGGAAACUCGACUGCAUAAUUUGUCGUAGUGGGGGACUGCGUUUGCGCUUUCCUCUG
Balaenoptera musculus (blue whale) is the source of this 164-nucleotide small nuclear RNA. Its record names the gene U1. It matches the Rfam family "U1 spliceosomal RNA". Rfam says of the family: U1 is a small nuclear RNA (snRNA) component of the spliceosome (involved in pre-mRNA splicing). Its 5' end forms complementary base pairs with the 5' splice junction, thus defining the 5' donor site of an intron. There are significant differences in sequence and secondary structure between metazoan and yeast U1 snRNAs, the latter being much longer (568 nucleotides as compared to 164 nucleotides in human). The record is from Ensembl. Lineage: Eukaryota; Metazoa; Chordata; Mammalia; Artiodactyla; Balaenopteridae.